GCCAUGCGAGUCUGCUGGGAGCCCAUGCUCCUGGCGGCGCACGGCUCCGUAAUACACGGUCAACCUACCCUAGGGACCGGGAUAACCUCGGGAAACUGAGGCUAAUCCCGAAUAGGGGUGAGUUCCUGGAAUGGUCUCACCCUGAAAGUAGGUGGGGGAAAGGCCCCGCUGAGGCCCUAGGAUGGGACCGUGGCCUAUCAGGUAGUAGGUGGGGUAACGGCCCACCUAGCCUAAGACGGGUACGGGCUCUGAGAGGAGGAGCCCGGAGAUGGGCACUGAGACAAGGGCCCAGGCCCUACGGGGCGCAGCAGGCGGGAAACUUCCCCAAUGCGCGAAAGCGUGAGGGAGUGAGCCCGAGUGCCGCCCGCUGAGGGCGGCUGUUCCCGGGUGUAAACAGCCCGGGGUAGGAAGGGGAGGGUAAGGCUGGUGCCAGCCGCCGCGGUAAAACCAGCUCCCCGAGGUGUUCCCACGCAUACUGGGCCUAAAGCGUCCGUAGCCGGUCCCGUAAGUCUCCGGUUAAAUCCGCCUGAAGACAGGCGGGCUGCCGGGAUACUGCGGGGCUAGGGAGCGGGAGGGGCCGAGGGUAUUCCGGGGGGAGCGGUAAAAUGCGUAGAUCCCCGGAGGACCACCAGUGGCGAAGGCGCUCGGCUGGAACGCGUCCGACGGUGAGGGACGAAAGCUGGGGGAGCAAACCGGAUUAGAUACCCGGGUAGUUCCAGCCGUAAACGAUGCCGGCUAGGUGCCGGCUGAGGUUUUCGACCUCAGUCGGUGUCGAAGCGAAGGCAUUAAGCCGGCCGCCUGAGGAGUACGGCCGCAAGGCUGAAACUUGAAGGAAUUGACGGGGGGGCACCACA
This 854-nucleotide ribosomal RNA is filed under the name uncultured archaeon. RNAcentral's name for it is "bacterial SSU rRNA". It matches the Rfam family "Archaeal small subunit ribosomal RNA", at positions 48 to 883 of the family's 1478-position model. The record is from RNAcentral.